GUUCCUCGCGGCCUUGCAGGUGCUCAGGCCGGGAGCAGGCCUGUGCUGUCAUCGAGGGGCGCCCCUAGGUGCGGUGGGACUAACUCCACCUCCGCCGGGGUCGAGGGUCAAGGGUGGGGGCUAGGGCCAACCCACUGAGAAGCAGCACAAGGACGCUGCAGUGAAGGGGAAAAGGGAGUCGGCCGCGCGGGAUCCCAAGCUAACGCCAGGCUGUUAACGGGUGCUGUGGAUUACAGAUGAUCGCACUCUGGGCACAGUCCUCUGGAAAUGCAGAUGCCCGUGUGGAGGAAAUUCUGGCGGGAGAGGAGCGGCGACUCGCCGCUCUGCUUGGAUCUCAAGGCAUGAGGUUCUGGGUGUGCCUCGCAGCCUGCAGAGCCAUGUGGGGCCUUGCUGCCAGACGAGGACGGGCUGAAGACAGCAGCUCGUCUCCAGUGGACGCCUCCAAGUUCCCAUGGAGGGGUGGGCAGCAUCGCACCACCAUGAUGCCUUGUCUGCUGCGGGUGGGAGUUUUCAGGCCCUGUCAUGUGAGACCCACGGGGGAUCCUUCCUGCGAUGUGCAGCCUCCACGACUCGGCUUCUCCAGAGUGCCAGAUACACAGGUGGCAUUUUAUGGCAGUGGUCACUGGGACCCAACUCCCUUCUCUGUACACAGCUGUUUUUUUAAUUUCCAGGUCAGAAAAAUUAUCUUCCUACUUUGAACUCUUUCUCCUUUUUGCCAAAAAUGUUUCUCUCUUACAAUGCAGAAGCAGAACACAGCUCCUGCUCUUGAAAUACUGGAUGGAUGUUUCAGAGGGUAUUGUGAGGCUUGGAGCUCCAGCCAGUGACAUUCCAGCCACAUCCUUCUCUCCUGGCUCCACUUCACAGAGGCUGGCUGUGUCUCUGGACUACACCUCAGAGCUAAUCUGCUUUCUGGAAGGGUCGUGUUUACUUCUGCUGGUGCUGUGCAUGUAGGAGACAGCUGUGGCCAGCCCUGUUUCCCUGGGGAGGUGGCAGAGGCGGUACCAUGAGCAAGGGAUGCAGAUGCUCAAGGGGGACCAGUCAGGGGACACGGGGAGGGUUUGGCCUCUCCAGCCAGGGGCUCGCCACCUCCAUGGUAUAAACAUCCAUGUGAACAAAAAAGUUCUAACAAGUACCAGCACACUGAGAAUAUUUUAAACCACAACUAUCGUGGAAAAUCUGGGAGGGUGGUUCCUAGGUCCAGGGUGGAAAAGUAGCUGAAAACCUGGUAGGGUUUGAAGAACAAUCAGAGGCGGCCUUCCACUUCUGAGAACAGUUCCUGUGAGUCACCUGAUGUUGUUCUAGAUUAAUUCUAUCAAAGACAGUGUUGGUCAACCCAGCUGCAGGCACUUGAUUUCCUCUAAAAGCUCUGGAUAACAGAAGCAGAGCUGUGAAGAAAGUCAAGUUGAAUAAAAUGCUUCCACUUAAAAGAAUAGGGCUUUUCCUUGAAAUGGUCCACUGGAUCGACCAUUUCCUCUCAUUUAUUAUUAUUAUCAUCUCCAUUCCCAUGCAUGCUAUUUAGACAAGGAAGGCUGGAAGCAAGUGACAGGUGCGGCAGUGCGCAGCAAGGCCUCUGCACCUGGCCCGUCAGUAGGGCCGGCACGCAGCCUGACUACUGAGUUUCUUCUGCCUCAUUCCUCUCCAGAGGCCCUCAACUUACAAUAGAGACCCAGGAGCUGGGAGAUGACUGAAUCUGUUAACAUGACACAGAAGGACUAACCCAUAAACAUGAGCGUGAAUGUCUUUUGUUGGGGGACUAAGGAGAUGACACUGAAAAGGAGAAUCACAAGCCAAGUGCCAUAAGCAGACCACAUUCCCUGCAAGCUGCCCUGCUAGGCUUUAUCCCAAAUCAAAGAAAAAGGGAGAAUGUCUUAAUAUUCUCACAGAUUUGUAACCACUUCACUGGGGUAAGUUUUCCUUUGUAUAGAUGACGGAUUAUCCUUCUAAGCUGCAAGCUGAUAAAUGAGAAGCUAAGUAUAAAAUAUCUAGAACUAAGGUAGAUGAAGAUGUCUAUAUGUGCACUGGGUGUCACUUAUAUAUCUGCCUGUGUUAUUAAGGGCACAAAGGUUGUGUGGGGCUGUGUAAACUAUAGAUAUUAGGAAUACAGAUUAAAACAGUAAUUUCACAAUGCAAGUAGUGCCAAGCCACGAAAAUAUGCCUGGAGCAUCUUCUCUUUUCUCUACUUCACAGAAAAUAUUUCCAUAGACACUUUUCACCAGGCAUCUGCAGCUGUUUUUUUUUUUUUAAACAAUCAUAAUUUUAAGCACUAUAUGGUAAGCCAUUUGGAAGCCAUUCGAAUUAUGCAUUAAAACAAGGAAAAAUAAGAUGCCACUUGACAUACACUGAAACACAUAAAAUCAGAUACAGACUCUUGGGUGGAAAAAGUAUGUUCUUCAACUUAGUUCAGAUGUUAACAUAUAAAACAUGCUCAGGGAACCCUGAAAAAAUCCAGAGGUGAACACUCUGAUGGUCAAUCACAUGUGUUCCUUCUUCUGAUCUGGAUGAUUCUUACAUUUUUAGGGCGCUGUACUGUUUUUUAGCCCUUUGACUCAUUAAUGUAUCAGGGAAUAAAAAGGAUAUCAAACUCAAACAGUUUAAUUGAGCUACUUGUCUACUGACCAAAAACUUCGUUUUUUGGGAGAGGUGCUGGGCUCUUGGGCAGGAAAGAGGGUAAAAUGUUGGCUCUGGUGAGUCAUCUACCUGCUUUCUUGCUGACCGCUGUGUCGGUGGGUAAGAGUUGGCUCUAUUCAGAAAACCUGAAUACUCUCCAUAUGGAAACAGAUAAUGGCUGCUGCAGUGGGGUGGGAUUCAUAGCAGUGCUAUGGAAGCUGCCGUCAACUAUUUGAGAAGCUGACUCUGUCCAGGUAACCACUGCUUGACGAAUUUCUUUAGGAAUUAUCCAGUGGAACUGGUAGCAUAAUCAUCUCUGUUGAGAAGGAAUGGUCUGAAAGAAGAUACUCUAUCUUGGAAGGUUUUCUGUUGAUAUUUAGAGACAAGCAGCAAAUAUUAGCUCGAGGUCAAUGCUGGAGAUUGUAAAACGGCUCUGCAUUAGUAACACUUUCCAAUCACAAGGAAUGUAUUUUCAUUGGUGUCUGGUUUUGGGUUUAAUUAAAUAUUUUCUUGGUUCAUACUAUCUAGCAGGGGUUAUUUGAAAUGACAAACAUUCUUUCUUCGUUUUCUAUGAACUAUACAGACUUAUAUUAACCCAUUGGCAAAGAAUUUUAAAAAGCAAAACAAUUUAAGCCUGUUGUCCUUGCCAGAAGCAAAAUGUGUAUCACACAAGACCCCACACAAGAACUACUCAUGGUUUCUCUGCCAUUCAACACAGCCCCUCUCCAGUCCCUGACGAGAACGAUGGGAAAAUCUCAGCAAUGCAGAGCAGAGCAGCGUGGACAGGGCGGGACGCAGACGAGAGGACACACACACACCAGUCAUGAGCACGUGCUGAGGAGGACAACCAUUCCCACUGGCCUGUUACUCUGCAGACCAAGGACAGGCAGGCGGUCAAAUCAAAGUCCUUGUUUUAGGGGAACUAGGUCCUGGGGCAAGAGAAGCAGCAUGAGGGGAUGUGUGCGAGCACACGCGUCCUCGACCUAGGUGAAGGACAAGGUCAGAGCGAGGAGCUGUACCGGAAAUGGGGGUCAAGGCAGUGAGGCUCCUACUUGGCUGCUGGAAAAGUCAAAGCUGGAGGCGGUUCUAACUGGAAUAAAACAAUGAGGCCGCGGCACAGCUACCACUUCACGGGCUCCACGCUAAUCACGAGCCGUCCCAUUUGGGAGGUAUGGUCAGCUAAAGCUCGGUCCACGUUUUCGCUUUUCCCCAAAAGAUGUACUAAAUACAAAGAUGUACUAAAACCUGAAAAAUGUCCUAAUUCUGAAAAUGAUUUAUCAGGAUUAUACAAGUUAAUUUUUAUUUGGAUAAAUUUUAGGUUCAUUUUCUACCAAGUCCAGUGCAAGGUAUUCCGAGCCUUUACAGUAUGAAAUUACUGGGAUUAUUUUGCUUUAAAAAAGUAUACUGCCUGGUCACCCUUUAAAAACAGUCCACUUAUUGAACCAUGGCUUAAAAUAGGGCAACAACUGUCACGGACUCCUUUAUUAAAAAUGAGAAUGGGCAGGUGCCGGGGUGCCUGGGCUGCAUGGUAGCUAACUGGGCUCCCGUAUCAGCAGCUCUGUUAGCUGUCGUGGAUCUGCUGGGCUUGGCUACUCUCAGGCAACCAGGGGAUCUGAAACGGAGGGACAGGGAAAUUACAUGUCCCCGCUGUGGGCUGAGGAUCAGUUUCCUCAGUACAGGAACCCACACCGAGCAUGAAUCUAAAACACGACUUAUCCUCUGGCCGGCACACUGCUCCCCCAUCAACCGAGAAUGACAGGAGCGGGUGGGCUGUGGAGGACAGAACCUGCAGUUCUCUGGUGAGUCCAUCCAUAUGUUUCGGAACCAAGUACAAUUUUCUAAGUGAUUUGCCUCCAGCCUAUUUCAACCUGCCACAGCUAAAUGAUGUCCCUCUGGAUGGUCACUGAUGUAGAGUGACCCAUACCUGUGGGUGCUUAAUAAAGAUUCUGAUCAUGUCACUGCCAGCAGUGGCUCCUCUCCCCUCAGUUUCAUUUCCUUCUUUCCAAGGCCUAAUUUUCUCCCCUAUUUAAUUGUCAUGAAUCUUUAGACUUUGGAGCUGGAGGCUACCUUUAAGAAUCAUCUGACCCAGAACUUUCCAUUCUCAAAUGGAGACUCCCAAGCCCAGAGAGGGAGCAGCAUCUGCCUGACUUCCCACAGCUGCCUGGCAGCAGAGCUGGGUUCAGGCUUCCAGCCUUCCAGUCCAUUAACUUUUCCCACCGUAACACCCUGCCUCGCAGGACAGAACCGACCGAAACCAAACCAAACCAAACUCCUGGAAACCUGAAAAGAGCUGCCAGCCACAGAACCCCAUGGAUGAGCACACGCGCUGUGCUACACACUGAAGAGAAUCUGGGGGUGGAGAGUGGUUGGGGAUUUUCUGAGGCAAAACGAGUGUAGACAGCUUUUGCCUAUCAAAGCAUGUGCUCCUCCAUCCCAAGUUUUAGUUCUCCCCGUGGCAUAUCCUUUUUCGGGUCAUUUCUGGCUGACCACUUUCUGUGGAGAAUUUGGGGGAAGGCUGUCCACCAGAGCAGCAAAUACUCACUGUUGAUGGUACCUGCUAGUGCAUUAAUAUUAUUCAGUCCAACAGUGGCUCCAGCCAGUCCUUGCAGAGUCCCGAGAGAGGUCAAGGAGUUCAUGGCUGCACCAGCAGUGGAGUUGGGGGUUGAAGCAGCCACUGAAAAAAGGAAAACAGAGACAAGGGGAGAGAAGACACGAGGUGAGUGAGAGCCGAGACUGGAAAUCCUUCUGUCAUCAUCUCAGUGGACGGAGCUGAGGAGCUGUGCUUGUGGCUUUGGGUGAAGGACAUGUGGGAUUGUACUUGUGGCAAUUUUGACAGAUUUGGUGAUUAAAAAAAUCUUCACAGCACUGUUUUACCAAUACUGCAAACACACUCACUGCUGGAUGGUGGGGAAAUCUGCGAAUGGGAGGCCUGCCCUGCCAGGUUUAGACAUAAUGAAGUUGACAAUCAUUCUUUGGCUUCAUUAUUGGAUAAUAUCUUGCUUAGUUCUUUUUUUUUUUUUUUAAGCCUAUGGGCAUGAGUAAGAUGGGCCUUUAUUUUUCCUUCUUGUACUGUCUUUAGUUUUGCUACCAAGGUUUUGCUAACCUCAUACAGUGACUGGGAGAGUGUUCCUAUUUUUCUGUUCUCUGGAAUAGACUGUGUCAGAUUAAAAUUAAUUGUCAUUUAAGUGUGUGGUAGCACUUGCCAGUAAAAUGUUCUGGACUUUGUAUUUCUUCAUGGGAAGAUUCUGAAAUAGUGAUUACAUUUCCCUGAUAAAUAGGAUGACUGAACUUUUCUUUUUGUUCUUGAAUCCGUUUUACUAAGUUGCUGCUUUCUAGAAAUUGCUGUAUUUUGUUUUCAACUCUAUAUUGGUAUAAAGUUAUUCAUAAUAUCUUCAAUAAACUUCUAAAAUGGAAAACAUUUAAAUGUAAGACAUUUCUUGGCCUGCCUGAUCUGUCAGUUACUGGAAGAAGCAUGUGAACGUCUGUCAUUCCAACUCCAUGUAAACAUGCUUAUUUUUGGAAAUGUAUCUUGAAGGUAUAUUUCUAUGCAAGAGGUUACUACUUGCAUAGAUUUGGAAAUUAUCCUAUCUUCUGGUGAAAUAAACCUUUUUGGGGCAACCUUUUUGUUUCUAAUUUUUCCUUGAAGUCUGUUUUGUAUGAUGUUUGGUGUAAGAAAGCCGGCUGUUUUGGGUUUUUGCAUUGGAUAUCUUUUGCCAUCUUUUUACUUAUCUGUUUGUAUUUUGGCUACAUCUCUAAUACACAGACAGGUUUAAAAACAACACAGCCUGAUAAUUUAAGUCUUUUACUAGGGGUAUUUAGAUUUUGUCCUAUUUGUUCUGCUAAUAUUACAUUUUUUUCUCUCCUUUCUUGCUGUCCUUUGAGACAGAGGCUCGCUCUGUCGCCCAGACUGGAGUGCAGUGGCAUGAUCUUGGCCCACUGCAACCCCUGCCUCCCAGGUUCAAGUGAUUCUCCUGCCUCAGCCUCCUGAGUAACUGGCACUACAGGCGCCUGCCACCAUGACUGGCUAAUUUUUGUAUUUUUAUU
RNAcentral lists this long non-coding RNA (6651 nucleotides) under Homo sapiens (human). RNAcentral's name for it is "non-protein coding CELF2-AS1:4". Lineage: Eukaryota; Metazoa; Chordata; Mammalia; Primates; Hominidae. The record is from RNAcentral.